Molecule: long non-coding RNA, 712 nt
Filed under: Medicago truncatula (barrel medic)
Lineage: Eukaryota; Viridiplantae; Streptophyta; Magnoliopsida; Fabales; Fabaceae
Description: long non-coding RNA (MTRU_LNC005268)
Source: RNAcentral
UGACACCAUCUUCUCCACCAACAACAACAUAUGCACCAUCAUCAGCCUCUAGCCAAGGCGGCAUGCAUCAUCAGAUACCUACUCCAUCCAGCACAGAAAGUUAUUCUUAUGCUCCCCAAGCAUAUCCUGGAAAUUCGCCAUACAACAGUUAUGUAGCCCCUUGGGCUCAACCUCAAUCUAAGUCAGAGUUUCAAACCCAGCAGCCUCAACAACACAUGUAUCAACCCCAACCUACCACCCCUCCUUCACCUCAACAACACAUGUAUCAACCCCAACCUACCACCCCUCCCUCACCUCAACAAUUGCAUGCACAUCAUGAAUCUGAACAAGCGCUGCGUCAUCAACAGGCCCAAUCAGAACUACUGCAGUCGCAGAAUCAACACCUUCCAUACAGCCCUCAUCAAGUGCACCCACAUAAUGAACAAUAUCAGCCCCAGCCACACUUACAGUCUCAGCCUCAACAUCAUCCCCAUUUACAGCCACAACCACAGUUGCAAACACAGUCUCAGAAUCCGCGUCAGCAUCAACCUCAACCUCAACGACCGAUGCAAUUGCAGUCUCAGCAAUAUCAACAGCAGCCACAAUUGCAGAACCAACAUGUUCAAUACCCUGCUAGAUAUCCUCCCCCGCCAUGGGCUGCUACACCCGGAUAUGCCAACUAUCAGAGCCAUUCCCAGAAUGCGAUUUCGACUUCUCAAGGCAACACAGCAAC